CAGUAGCCGCGGGAAUACAGAGGAUGCAAGCGUUAUCCGGAAUGAUUGGGCGUAAAGCGUCUGUAGGUGGCUUUUCAAGUCCGCCGUCAAAUCCCAGGGCUCAACCCUGGACAGGCGGUGGAAACUACCAAGCUGGAGUACGGUAGGGGGCAGAGGGAAUUUCCGGUGGAGCGGUGAAAUGCGUUGAGAUCGGAAUGAACACCGACGGCGAAAGCACUCUGCUGGGCCGACACUGACACUGAGAGACGAAAGCUAGGGGAGCAAAUGGGAUUAGAUACCCGGGUAGUCCCUGUCUCUUAUA
This 301-nucleotide ribosomal RNA is filed under the name uncultured bacterium. RNAcentral describes it as "partial 16S ribosomal RNA". It matches the Rfam family "Bacterial small subunit ribosomal RNA", at positions 509 to 808 of the family's 1533-position model. The record is from RNAcentral.